Molecule: long non-coding RNA, 2147 nt
Organism: Anas platyrhynchos (mallard)
Lineage: Eukaryota; Metazoa; Chordata; Aves; Anseriformes; Anatidae
Source: RefSeq, a predicted model, not a curated record
UGAUAAUGAACUCUUACUAAAUAGCUUGUUCCUGCUGAGGUCUCUCCUCAAAACAUGGAGUUUGCUUUUGUUUGGAUGUGAAACAGAAGGAGGGUUUUCCCACACUCUGCUCUGAUCCUUCAUUUCAUAACAAAAUUCACAUUUUGAAAUCUUUUGUCCAUAUGAGAGGAGUGGAGGAAGAAAACUCACCCUAUUCUACAUCUUUGCAACAGGAGAGAGGGGCAAGCUAAUGCAGUUCACCUGUUCUGCUCUUCUGGCAGGGUGUCCGAUGUGCAAGGGACUGUGAUUCUAAAGCAAACAGUGACCAUGGCAGUCAGUGUGAUCCCUGAGGGGCUGAUGUGUGUUUAUAUCAUUCCUCUAAGGUUCCAGAUCUUCUGUGUAAUGAGUAAAAGAAAAAUAUUCCCAGAGCGGGAGAGGUGUGUGGCUGAGCGAACACUUUGCUGAGGAAAGGAGACAUCUCAGAGAAGGUGAUGGGAGAAAACCAUUCAUGAAACUUAUGGAAAUCUCAUGAAAACAUGGACCUUUGUCUCCAAUAAUUCUGCACAGAAUGUAUUCUUCCUUGCACUCAAAUUGUCCUCUCUAUGAACAUUAACAAAUAGAAAUAAUAUCUGUCAGGAAUAAAACCUGUGAAUAUCCUGGACACAGCAUCACUCCGUUCCAACUUUUACUUGAGGGAAAUCAGGGUCUACAUGCUUUCCUGUGCUGUCAUUACAGCUUAGACAGGGCCCCUUUGUACCAGCUGUCUCAGGUUCUGAGAGCCUCUGCCACACAGCUUCCAAACCAUAACUUUCUGUAUUAUGUUUCCUGCAAACUGUUCCUAGCCAUUCCUUGCUCAAUUGUAUCGAACUCGAGCAGACUGGUGUUAUUUCAGUAGAGCUCACAGACAACAAAUAGCAGCAUUUGCUGAAUACAUGACUGCCAGAUUCUACGUGGAAGAGUAAUAAAAUGCAAAGUACAUAACUCAGCUCCACAUAGCUUGGUCUGGCUGCUUGCCCUUUUGCCUCUGAAUGGCUUUUUGAAUCCCUGCCCUGCCCAAUACAAGUGAAAUUAUUCUAAUUAUACAGUUUGAAAGAGUCCCUGGUGACAUGCUGGAUAGUGAUCGUUUCCUAGUUCACUGCAAAACAAUUUCGCAUAUAAUACAGAUUACACAAAGGGUCAUGAGCUCAUAGAAACUCUGAAACCGUCUUUCAAAGCUUUGUAUUUGCUCCGAGUCUAGGUCACUUUUGGGUAUGGAUUAAAGAAAGAUGAUGAACCUUCUGAUAUUUUCAAGUAAGCUUGUAGACAUUUUAUUCUUCUUAAUUUCAGACUUGCAUCCUCUAAAGAAAUAGAAAUAGAUCGGCCCUUUUCCUUAUUCCAUUUUCAGAUGCAUGAUGAAUUAAGCAGGUUGUGCUUGUCAGCUCUGUUUAUUAAAAUGGACCAAAACCAAGCCCCAGAACCCAAACAACAUUCUAACCAACGGAAGUUCAAAGUAGGAUCCAUUUUUUUUUAUUUUAUUUUUUUUUUUUACCUGUUUUCCCCUUGUAAAUGACCCAAACCCAAAUUUUAAGGGCAUUUUCAUCAGGAUUUGAUAUAUGUGUAAUCACUAAGAGGACCUGCAGAACAGUCAAAGUCUAUAGUUCAGAAGAUAAAAUACAGAUAUAGAGAUCUGACUGUUCUUCAAGAAUCUUUUAUCCAGGCUAUGACACAAAAUCUUUGCCCAGGAGGAUGGAUAUAACACCUUCAGUUAUCAUGUUCUGCCUGUGCAGGUUUCCCUUCCCAGCCAACUCAGACAAUGGCAGUCUUCUGCAGAAACAUUGUCCCAGUCUGUAGGAGCAGAAGUAAUAGGAAUGGUGGUUGUUUUGUCUGAUCGAUGGUCUCAUGCUCUAAGAUGUGCCGCAUCCCUUAAUAUGUGCUUACAACUACAAAUCCGUGUAAUUCGGGCCAUAAAAUUAUAUGGGCAAACAUGUAAAAUUACUAUCGUUAGUCAGAUUGAUCACUCAUAGGAUAAAAUGAGGACGCAUGCAUGCACUUUGCAUAUCCUGUGUCAAACGUUUUCCAAGUUGUUGUAUAAUAUUCUGUCUUGAAUGUUGAAUUUUAAUCAAAAACUCAAAAACAGGAAAUUGUCAGCAAGGCCCACCAACAGCUUUGGGCUUUCCACCACAGAAAAU